Molecule: ribosomal RNA, 138 nt
Organism: Cephalotus follicularis
Lineage: Eukaryota; Viridiplantae; Streptophyta; Magnoliopsida; Oxalidales; Cephalotaceae
Source: Rfam
AGGUGCGAUCAUACCAACACUAAUGCAUCGGAUCCCAUCAGAACUUUGAAGUUAAGCAUGCUUGGGUGAUGUAUAGUAGUUUUAUACAUACCAGCUCCAUGAGUAAAUUUUUGGUAAAUGUAUCCAUGAUAGCUUCCA